Molecule: unclassified non-coding RNA, 849 nt
Filed under: Hevea brasiliensis (rubber tree)
Lineage: Eukaryota; Viridiplantae; Streptophyta; Magnoliopsida; Malpighiales; Euphorbiaceae
Source: RNAcentral
AUGUUGGAAGUAAUUUAAAACCCUUUGAUUCUUGAAGGUUUGAUAUGUCGUGAAGCAGCUUUGCAUGCAAAGCCAAAAAAUUUUCGUAAUAUGAUUAUUGGAGGAGAUUUCGCUACUGUCAUACAAGCAUUGAAUGUAUCCCCAACGCCUCUUGCAAUACAGGAUAUAGUUCUGAACUUCUUUGAAGUAGCCAGAUUUUUCCAGGAGGUUACAUUCUCCUUUGUCAAUAGGGGUUGCAAUCAAUCAGCUCACUCUCUUGUACACAAGUAUCUACAUGAUACUUCCUUUAGCUGUAAUCCCUGUAUCAUACGCAUUAAUCCCUACUUCCCUCAGUAAUUAAUCCCAUAUUGUGGUCUUUACCAUAAAAAAGCAAAAAUCAUUGAAAUGAUAAUAAGUUGUGCUAAAUAUUUUAUGCCCAGUCUGCCAAGAGAAAUAAAAACAUUAAAAACAAUGAAAACAAUCGUCAGCAAGCAAGGGACGGCUGUAAUCAAUGGCACAAGGAUCGGGGCAGGAAUGCGCUCAGGAAAUGUCUUAACUCAUCCAUGUCGAGCAACAAUUCAUUCAAUCGAGUGUCAAGAGAAAAGAAAAAAUGAAAAAUUCAUCCAGGUGGAGAAGUCCUUAUCAGCACAUUUAAUUGGCGUGACUAGCUUAUCUAAAGUUCAUCUGAGAAAUUUAAUCUACUGCCAUUGUUAAUAAAAGUACAGAUAUAAAGAAAUACAUAUAAAAUAACUGCACUCGCUAGCGGUUCUCCAAAUGGUUUUUGCUACCGCAUGUGUGAGAAGUAACCUUGUUCUAUGAAUUUCAAGGUGAACAUCUGGUGGCGGCAGAUUUUUUUUUUUUUUUUUUUUU